Molecule: ribosomal RNA, 323 nt
Filed under: uncultured eukaryote
Lineage: Eukaryota
Description: partial 18S ribosomal RNA
Rfam family: Eukaryotic small subunit ribosomal RNA
Source: RNAcentral
CCCUUAGAUGUUCUGGGCCGCACGCGUGCUACACUGAGUGGAUCAGCGGGUCAGGUUGCGCGAAAGUGUUUCCUAAUCUUGAAAUCCGCUCGUGAUGGGGAUUGACGGUUGCAAUUUUCCGUCAUGAACGAGGAAUACCUUGUAAGCGCGGGUCAUCAUCCCGCGCUGAAUACGUCCCUGCCCUUUGUACACACCGCCCGUCGCUCCUACCGAUUGAAUGGUCCGGUGAAGCGUUCGGACCGUGGCCUUUGGACGGUUCGCCGUCUGUUGGCUGCGGGAAGUUCGUUAAACCUUAUCAUUUAGAGGAAGGAGAAGUCGUAACA